CGGGGGGGGCAAGCGUUGUUCGGAAUUACUGGGCGUAAAGGGCUCGUAGGCGGCCAACUAAGUCCGACGUGAAAUCCCCAGGCUCAACCUGGGAACUGCGUCGGAUACUGGAUGGCUUGAAUUCGGGAGAGGGAUGCAGAAUUCCAGGUGUAGCGGUGAAAUGCGUAGAUAUCUGGAGGAAUACCGGUGGCGAAGGCGGCAUCCUGGACCGACAUUGACGCUGAGGAGCGAAAGCUAGGGGAGCAAACGGGAUUAGAUACCCCGGUAGUCCUAGCCCUAAACGAUGAAUGCUUGGUGUGACGGGUAUCGAUCCCUGUCGUGCCGAAGCUAACGCAUUAAGCAUUCCGCCUGGGGAGUACGGUCGCAGGGCUG
This 372-nucleotide ribosomal RNA is filed under the name uncultured organism. Its description in RNAcentral is "bacterial SSU rRNA". It matches the Rfam family "Bacterial small subunit ribosomal RNA", at positions 526 to 896 of the family's 1533-position model. The record is from RNAcentral.